This is a long non-coding RNA of Dreissena polymorpha, 3442 nucleotides long. RefSeq lists it as uncharacterized. The transcript has 3 exons. The record is from RefSeq and is a predicted model, not a curated record. NCBI's taxonomy places the organism in Eukaryota, Metazoa, Mollusca, Bivalvia, Myida, Dreissenidae.
UCAUGUGAACGCUCCUAUUACUUUCUGUAAAUGAGUUCCUUUUGGCCGAUUCAUAAAAUUGCGCAUUGGUUAUUUAACAAUGAACGGGUGAAUGACAAUUUUAUUAAAUCCUAAUUUGUGUUAUGUGUUUUUCCAUCGUAAAAUCCUAUAUGAAUCAUAUCGUAUUUGGUUACAUUUAAAGCUGCUUUGUAUGUAUCAAACGCGGCUUCGGCUAUCAAGAUGAUCUCGUGAAGCGAUGAAGUCCAGGAAGUUUAUGAUCGGAGGUAGACCAGUAUUUUCUAUAUGGUUUAAACCAGUUCUGAAUUAGGCGAACGGGUUUCCAUUCAACAUGGGAAACGGAAAAGAUGCAAGUAUACCUCCGAAAGAAGAAAAUACAAGACUGAAGAAACUUGUGUGCUGUUCGAAAUGCCAGGUCAACUAUAAGAGCGCUUUGUUUAGACCAUGCUGCCAUCUUAGUAUGUGCAUGAUCUGUGCGUUUGGCUUAGAGUAUUGUCCAGAAUGCAACUCAACUAUAGAGGAAAUAAUCAAGGUUAUUCUGACACGUAAGUAUAACUAAAUCUGCAGAAUUAUCGAUGAAAAAACGUUUUAAAUUGUAUAAAGAGCAUUUAUCUAAAACUGUAAUGCAGUUCCGUUGUUAAAUUGUUAAACAAAGGAAAAGAAGUAAUGCAACUGAAAUGUAUUGCCAAAUCAAAUACAUUACCCAGUUCCUUCAUCAAAUGUCUUGUAUUAAGUAAGUAACAUUUUCUUUUAGCGUUAAUCCAAACAAUAGUCAGCGACAACGCACGUUUGAAGUCAAAACUAUACUGUGGCAAAUGCAAGGUUGAACCCAGUAACGUGCUCUUCUUCCCUUGCCAACACCAUCUCUUGUGUUUGGACUGUGCCAAGGACUUGGAGGUGUGUUGUGCUUGCUCGGCGGAGAUUCGUCGCACCAAGCAGACGUUUAGGUCCUAGGUAGCAUUAACGACAGUAGAUUAUCUUUUUCAUUUUAUCAUUACAUUGUAAGAGAAAACACUGAUUUAAGUAGCCAAAUUAAUUCAUCAUAAGUAAAUUAUAUUAAAUAGUUAUUUUUACAUCACAGUAGUAGACAAAUCUUGAUAAAAAUAAUGUUGUUUAUUUGAUAAAAUGUUUUCUUUAAAUUAAUUAUUGCAAUUACAUACGACUCCACAACCUAUAUUCGUUCUUUUUUUAGGUUUGAUUGGCUUUUCUCGUUUUGUGAUUUGUUAUAUAACAAGUUUGUAUAGCACGUUUAAGUUUGAUAAUUCAUUUUAACUAUCAUUGAUUUCGUUAUUUGAAGGGUCUGUAAGAUCGUGUUUUCUUUCAUUAUAAUGAUAAGCUUUUUAUUGUUGUUGUUCAUAAAAAUAGGAUGAUGGGUGUACAUGAUUAUCAGUUAACGGAAUAAUCCAAACAAUCUGGAAGUGGUUUAAGUGACACUGUAUGUGUCCUUCAUAUAUACUACAAAAUCAAACCAAUAUAUGUAUAUCUAGUAUUUCAAGUAUCGCUUUUUACAUAACCUAUUUUUGUUUUAUAACGGUAGCAUAGUUUCGCUUUUAAAAAGAUAGCAAAUGUUCGGUGUUCGAUACUUCAUAAUGCAAUCCCUGCCACAAUGUAAAUUAAUUUUGCUACUUCAUAUAUAGUUCUUGUCAAAUUAUAAAGUUCAUGAGAGUGGACAAUAUAAUUAUGCAACUGCAUUGAUUAUUAACCUUAUUAUUUAAAAACAAGUUGCAUUUCUUGAUUUCAUGCAAUUUUUGAUUAAUUCCUGACGUACUUACAACUUUACCAAUCAGUAUGUAAUGUGUUGUCCACGUAUUUAGUUACAACAAGAUAUGUUUAAAAACUGAUGUCAGGUGAAUACCGUUGAAACGAAUUGCUGCGUGGAGGUGUUUUCCAGUACGUUUCUUUUUAAUGUGUGUGCAUAUUAAAUUAUUAUCAGCCUUCAAAGAAACAUAGGUAAAUUGAGUUGCACGUGUACGUCAAGGGUGGAAUUUCGCUCAGUGUAUGGAUCAGUGACAUGGUCGCUCCAAAAUCCAUUUAGUUCCACUCCAUAUCAUUUUUGCUUACUAUCAUGUUAAAUGGUAAAAUGGUAUAACUUUGUGAAAAGAAGACACUUUAAUAUUUUAAGGUCAAAGAUCCAGGUCAAAAGAGAUUUUUUAAAGUUAGGUACAAUAUUCGAGUACCAUAAAUAUCUUUAGAUCCGAUAAGUGAACGUUGAUAAAUGAUAAAACGUCAUGUAGACAUUGCUGCGUGCAUUCAUAGGUACUCCUUAAGUAAAAUCAUUUCUAUUGCUAGCUGAUGUCUGAGAGAUAACUGUACAUAUUCAGAAUUAACAAUUUAUAAUAAAUGUUUAUAUUGUUGCUCGACGCACAUAUCUACAAACAUUUCUUGUAAUGUGUUGUUUAUUACUUAAUUAUGCAAUUUCAUGUUUAAUGCACAUGUGGCUGUACUUUCCUAGCCUGACAUUUAAUAAAUGUGUGUUUUAAAAAAUUAAGCGAUCAGAUACUUAAUUUUCUGAAUUUAUUUCAAACUACCGUCAUUGGCAAUAGGAGUUUAUUUUUGUUUCAUACUUUGUAUUCGAUGCAUUAAAACUUAUUCUUAAUUGCGCUCAACUAUUUUCAAAACUUAUAUUUAUAAUUACUCAACGAGUGUAUUUACGUUUUGCUAUAAUGGUGUUAAAUGUAAUUGUCACACACCAUAAGUUAAAGAGAAACUCUGUUAAUUUAUAGUACGACAACACUCACAGACCAUACGUGCCAUAUAACGCUCAAAUUACACAGUUUGUAGGACAAGUACCAUGUGGAAAUAUAAACUUUCUAUACAAUGCCAUAACACUCCAUAGCUGUUAAUUAUUGUUUUUUUUUUAUAUAAUAUUUUAUGGUUGUUGAUUAUUUACUUGCCAUAACACACAACUGUGUGUAUUUUGCAUAAUAUUUGUAAUUAGCCUAAACAAUUCGUCAAAAUUUUGUUGUGUAACGUCUUAUCAAGUGAAACGAAUUUAUUUAGCAUAAUGGUUGAAGAGAAGUUGUACCGUCAUGGUGUGAAAUCUAAUGAAGCGAUGUGAUAUUUUCCAUUGCCGAAUGAUUUUAAAAACAAAUGUGUUUAAUACGCCAGAAGAAGAAAUGCUUUCGUGUGAGUCUGUGACGCUUAAUGAUGUAUAUUUUUAUUGCUGAUACGAUUACAGAAUCAUUGCGUAUAUAAUGUCGGGUCGCAAUCUCUCUUCCCGUAUAUGCUUAUACAGUCAAGUGUGUGUUUUCGUGAUACUUUUAUACUUGUAUGUUUUUUUUAUACUUUUAUAGUUGUAAAUUAUACUGUUAUAUGUACGUAUAAGAUUGUAAUAAAGAAUUUUACAGCUGAAACACGUUUUUCUAGAACGAGAAACAGGAGUUAGGUGAACGGUUUUGACUCUAAUGUUCUUAUUUUUAUAUCAUGUAUGCCCGAAAUGGUAAUA